AGUUCUGCAGGCUUUACAGGAAGCAUGGUGCUGGCGUCUCCUUGGUUUCUAGGGAAGCCUCAGGAAGCUUACAAUCAUGACAAGGCAAAGGAUGAGCAGGAUGUUUUCACUCCAGAAUGCAAAUUCAAGGAAUCUGUGUUUGAAAACUACUAUGUGAUCUAUUCUUCCACACUGUACCGCCAACAAGAAUCAGGCCGAGCUUGGUUUCUGGGACUCAAUAAAGAAGGUCAAAUUAUGAAAGGGAACAGAGUGAAGAAAACCAAGCCCUCAUCACAUUUUGUACCGAAACCUAUUGAAGUGUGUAUGUACAGAGAACCAUCACUACAUGAAAUUGGAGAAAAACAAGGGCGUUCAAGGAAAAGUUCUGGAACACCAACCAUGAAUGGAGGCAAAGUUGUGAAUCAAGAUUCAACAUAGCUGAGAACUCUCCCCUUCUUCCCUCUCUCAUCCCUUCCCCUUCUCUUCCUUCCCAUUUACCCAUUUCCUUCCAGUAAAUCCACCCAAGGAGAGGAAAAUAAAAUGACAACGCAAGACCUAGUGGCUAAGAUUCUGCACUCAAAAUCUUCCUUUGUGUAGGACAAGAAAAUUGAACCAAAGCUUGCUUGUUGCAAUGUGGUAGAAAAUUCAUGUGCACAAAAAUUAGCACACUUAAAAGCAAAGGAAAAAAUAAAUCAGAACUCCACAAAUAUUAAAUUAAACUGUAUUGUUAUUAGUAGAAGGCUAAUUGUAAUGAAGACAUUAAUAAAGAUGAAAUAAAAUUAUUACUUUAAAGGAAAGGAUUUGGAGAAUUGAACUGACAAACUGAUGUUAUAUACUAAAUAGCUUAA
This 827-nucleotide small RNA is filed under the name Pongo abelii (Sumatran orangutan). RNAcentral's name for it is "processed transcript". The record is from RNAcentral. Lineage: Eukaryota; Metazoa; Chordata; Mammalia; Primates; Hominidae.